AGGAAUCAGAGACAUUACAUCAGGAAGAUACUGCAGAGAUAUUCUACUCCAUCUCAUUCAUUGUACAGAUGGGACUGUCUAGUUGCAGGAAAACAAGCUCAGGGCUCCCACGGAUUCUACAUUAUGAUUCUAAACUCCCUGAAGGAGACAAAUUACCAGUGGACAAGAACACAGCCUCUGGAGUCCAAUAGACCUGGUGUAUUCAUUAGGUUAAAGAGGAAAAAGCAAGUUGCUCCAGAAAAACCUGUAAAGAAGCAAAAGACAGGUGAAACUUCGAGAGCUCUGUCAUCUUCUAAACAGAGCAGCAGCAGCAGAGAUGAUAACAUGUUUCAGAUUGGGAAAAUGAGGUACGUUAGUGUUCGCGAUUUUAAAGGCAAAGUGCUAAUUGAUAUUAGAGAAUAUUGGAUGGAUCCUGAAGGUGAAAUGAAACCAGGAAGAAAAGGUAUUUCUUUAAAUCCAGAACAAUGGAGCCAGCUGAAGGAACAGAUUUCUG
This 493-nucleotide small RNA is filed under the name Pongo abelii (Sumatran orangutan). RNAcentral's name for it is "processed transcript". The record is from RNAcentral. Lineage: Eukaryota; Metazoa; Chordata; Mammalia; Primates; Hominidae.